AAUGAACGCUGGCGGCGCGCCUAAUACAUGCAAGUCGAGCGAGAAGACGUAGCAAUACGUUUGUAAAGCGGCGAACGGGUGAGGAAUACAUGGGUAACCUACCCUCGAGUGGGGAAUAACUAGCCGAAAGGUUAGCUAAUACCGCGUACGCUUCUUGGACUUCGGUUCAGGGAGGAAAGCGAUGCCGAGGGUAUCGCGCUCUUGGAUGGGCUCAUGUCCUAUCAGCUUGNGGUGAGGUAACGGCUCACCAAGGCUUCGACGGGUAGCUGGUCUGAGAGGACGAUCAGCCACACUGGCACUGCGACACGGGCCAGACUCCUACGGAGGCAGCAGUAAGGAAUAUUGCGCAAUGGGCGAAAGCCUGACGCAGCGACGCCGCGUGGGGGAGU
This 389-nucleotide ribosomal RNA is filed under the name uncultured bacterium. RNAcentral describes it as "bacterial SSU rRNA". It matches the Rfam family "Bacterial small subunit ribosomal RNA", at positions 29 to 410 of the family's 1533-position model. The record is from RNAcentral.